RNA transcript from Gossypium arboreum, 1633 nucleotides. It is a transcript of the gene named probable CoA ligase CCL10, with no coding region annotated. The record is from RefSeq and is a predicted model, not a curated record. The transcript has 7 exons. NCBI's taxonomy places the organism in Eukaryota, Viridiplantae, Streptophyta, Magnoliopsida, Malvales, Malvaceae.
AUGGCAGUUUCUUCAUUCAAUCCAAAAACCCAAACCUACACUUCCACCAGGCCCCCUAUCAAGCUCCCAACAAGCCCUGACCUCUCACUCACCUCCUUUAUAUUCCAAUCCACUUCCUCCAUCCCUCAUCACACCGCUCUCCUCAAUUCUAAUUCAAACGAAACCCUAACCUUUCUCCAACUCAAAGCUCAUGUUUCAUCUCUUGCUUAUGCAUUACGCCACCAAUUUCACGUUGCUAAACAUGAUGUCGUCCUUAUCUUUGCCCCCAACUCAAUACGUUUCCCCAUUUCUUUCCUUGCUAUCGUCUCUCUUGGUGCCAUUGCCACCACUGCCAACCCGUCAUUCACCUUCACCGAGAUAUCCAAACAAGUCAAAGAUUCCAAUCCCAAGCUUAUCAUCACAAUCCCUCAGCUUUAUAGCAAAGUUAGCCAGUUCAAUGUUCCAUUGGUUUUCUUACAAUCAUCAAGCUCCCCCAACUUAUCAUCAGCUAUUCCAAAAUUCUCUUUUUACUCGGAUAUUAUAAAAAACUACGCUGAACAUUUUUUGAAUUCGAAUAACGAUGUACAGCAGAACGAUGUGGCGGCAUUGAUGUACUCAUCUGGAACAACCGGAACCAGUAAAGGGGUGAUGCUGACACAUAAAAAUUUCAUCGCUUCGACCUAAAAUUUCACUGCCGAUCAAGACAGGUACAUGGAAGGAAGGAGUGUAUGUUUGUGUUUCUUGCCAAUGUUUCAUGGGUUUGGUUCGGUCAAUCGGUCUUAACGUUGGCACAAUUGAGAAGAGGAAAUUUAUUGGUAUCGAGAAGUACAAGGUCACGCAUAUGUUCGUUGUGCCUCCGGUUAUGGUUUCUUUGGCAAAGCAAUGACAGAUGAUGAACAAUAAGUAUGAUUUAUCAUCGUUGAAGCAAAUUAUCUCUAGUGCAGCCCCACUGAGCAGAGAUUUGAUCGAGACAUGUUCCCACAUUUUGCCCCAUGUUCAAAUUUUUCAGGCAUAUGGUAUGACAGAAGCUUGCGGGAAUAUUUCAAUGGAGAAUCCUAAGGAAGGCCCUCCUUUCUCAGGAUCAACCGGAACUCUAAUGCCUCUAAUUAAAUCCAAAAUUGUUAGUGUAACAACAACGAACCCCCUUCCUCCAGAUCAGAUGGGAGAAAUAUGCUUUCGAGGGCCCACUAUUACACUAAGUUAUUUUAACAAUCCAGAGGCUACAAAAGUAGGUAUCGAUUAACAAGGGUGGCUGCACACUGGUGAUCUAGGUUAUUUCGAUAAACAAGGACAAUUAUUUGUUAUAGAUUGAAUAAAGGAGCUUAUCAAAUGUUAUGGUUUACAGGUGGCACCGGCAGAACUAGAAGGGUUGCUUCUUUCUCAUCCUGACAUUGUUGAUGCUGUUGUUAUUCUAUUCCCUAAUAUUAAAGCUGGAGAAUUCCAAUUGCAUAUGUUGUUAGAGCAUUAAACAACUCACUAACAAAAAAAGAUGUUCAACUCACUAACAAAAAAAGAUGUUCAACUUUUCGUAAAAAGUAAGGUUGCACAUUAUAAAAGAUUGCGAAGUGUCACUUUCUUAAAAAGUAUCCCAAGAUUAGUGUCCGGAAAGAUUUUGAGAAGAGAACUCAUUGCAAAAGUUGGAUCCAAGAUAUAA